Molecule: non-coding RNA, 1184 nt
Organism: Hydra vulgaris (swiftwater hydra)
Lineage: Eukaryota; Metazoa; Cnidaria; Hydrozoa; Anthoathecata; Hydridae
Source: RefSeq, a predicted model, not a curated record
GAUGGUGAUCUGCGAAGAGGUGGAUUAUGCUAAUUAGUAAUUUUAAAACCGUUUUCAAGAUUAAAAUGUUGGAUAAAGUUGCCGCAUCGUCUGCGUGUUUCCAAAGAAGUAAAAUUGAGAGGCUGACACCUUUCAGCAUAAGUCUAACAUUAGCAAAAUAUUUGAAAAGUCCUGGUUAUAUACAGAUCAACAAUAAAAGAAAUGGUUAAACUGACAGAAGAAAUUUAAAAAAACUACAGUUAGAAAGCUGUCACUGCACUUUGAUGGUAUUACUCAAAAAGACUAUCAAGUGUUAAAAGUUUAACAAAGAGAAGAUAAGUUACAAGAACUAGAUCUACCAGAUGGAAUAGCAGAUAUUGUUUUUAAAAUUGAUGCAUUGAUUCUUGACAGGCUGUUAAUUUUAUAGACGCUAAAGAUGAACUUGUUUUCAAUAUGACUAAGGACAUGUAAGAAUAAUUGCCCUUUCUACCUACACUUUCAGGCAUUGGAGGAUGGACAAACAUUAAUCUUGCAAGACUUAAACAAUACACAUAAUCACAAAGUAUCUGAAAACACAACGUGUCCUCUUUGGUAAUGUUGCAUCAGUUUGGAAACAGGUAACUUGUGGCAUUCCUCAGGGCUCAGUUCUUGGUCCAACACUGUUUAUAGUCUAUAUUAAUGACUUACCAAAAUACAUUAACAGCAAAAAUAAAUGCAAAAUGUACGCAGUUGACACAAAAGUCCUCAGUGUAGUUAACACAUUAGAAAGCAAACUUGGUCUGCAAGCUGACAUUGAUAAUAUUGUCAAUUGGAUCCAAUUACGGCUCAUGCAACUUAACAUCAAAAAAUGUAAAGUUAUGCACAUCAAAAUAUCCAAAUCUGUCCUUCACAUCUACUUCAUCAAUGAAAACAACUACAAUAGCAGAGUCAAAAGAAUCCAGCUAGAAACAACAACAUUGGAAAAAGACCUUGGUGAUCAACUAUCUGUUGAUUUAAAGUACAAAAGUCAAGUGUUCACCGCUGCUGCUAAAGCUAACAAAGUCUUAGGUAUGUUGAAGCAUACCUUUGUUAGCAAAGUAGUAAAAAUCUGGAAAAACCUCUAUACAACAUACGUACGUCCACAUCUAGAAAAUCCUAUCACCACCUGUUGCCCUCACCUUAAAAAAAACAUUACUGAAAUUGAACAAAUUCAACAUCGUGCCACA